UUAGUGGCGGACGGGUGAGUAACGCGUGAGAAUCUGCCCUCAGGAGGGGGAUAACGGCUGGAAACGGCCGCUAAUACCCCAUAUGCCGAGAGGUGAAACGAAUUUCGCCUGAGGAUGAGCUCGCGUCUGAUUAGCUAGUUGGUGGGGUAAGAGCCUACCAAGGCUUCGAUCAGUAGCUGGUCUGAGAGGAUGAUCAGCCACACUGGGACUGAGACACGGCCCAGACUCCUACGGGAGGCAGCAGUGGGGAAUUUUCCGCAAUGGGCGAAAGCCUGACGGAGCAACGCCGCGUGAGGGAUGAAGGCCUCUGGGCUGUAAACCUCUUUUAUCAAGGAAGAAGAUCUGACGGUACUUGAUGAAUAAGCCACGGCUAAUUCCGUGCCAGCAGCCGCGGUAAUACGGGAGUGGCAAGCGUUAUCCGGAAUUAUUGGGCGUAAAGCGUCCGCAGGCGGCCUUAUAAGUCUGUUGUCAAAGCGUGGAGCUUAACUCCAUUUCGGCAAUGGAAACUGUGAGGCUUGAGUGUGGUAGGGGCAGAGGGAAUUCCCGGUGUAGCGGUGAAAUGCGUAGAUAUCGGGAAGAACACCAGUGGCGAAGGCGCUCUGCUGGGCCAUAACUGACGCUCAUGGACGAAAGCCAGGGGAGCGAAAGGGAUUAGAUACCCCUGUAGUCCUGGCCGUAAACGAUGAACACUAGGUGUCGGGGGAAUCGACCCCCUCGGUGUCGUAGCCAACGCGUUAAGUGUUCCGCCUGGGGAGUACGCACGCAAGUGUGAAACUCAAAGGAAUUGACGGGGGCCCGCACAAGCGGUGGAGUAUGUGGUUUAAUUCGAUGCAACGCGAAGAACCUUACCAGGGUUUGACAUCCUGCGAAUCCCUUGGAAACUUGGGAGUGCCUUCGGGAGCGCAGUGACAGGUGGUGCAUGGCUGUCGUCAGCUCGUGUCGUGAGAUGUUGGGUUAAGUCCCGCAACGAGCGCAACCCACGUCUUUAGUUGCCAGCAUUCAGUUGGGCACUCUAGAGAGACCGCCGGUGAUAAACCGGAGGAAGGUGUGGAUGACGUCAAGUCAUCAUGCCCCUUACAUCCUGGGCUACACACGUACUACAAUGCUACGGACAAAGGGCAGCAAACUCGCGAGAGCUAGCAAAUCCCAUAAACCGUGGCUCAGUUCAGAUCGUAGGCUGCAACUCGCCUACGUGAAGGAGGAAUCGCUAGUAAUCGCAGGUCAGCAUACUGCGGUGAAUACGUUCCCGGGCCUUGUACACACCGCCCGUCACACCAUGGAAGUUGGCCACGCCCGAAGUCGUUACUCCAACCCUUGUGGAGGAGGACGCCGAAGGUGGGGCUGAUGACUGGGGUGAAGUCGUAACAAGGUAGCCGUACCGGAAGGUGC
This 1389-nucleotide ribosomal RNA is filed under the name uncultured Cyanobium sp. Its description in RNAcentral is "bacterial SSU rRNA". It matches the Rfam family "Bacterial small subunit ribosomal RNA". Lineage: Bacteria; Bacillati; Cyanobacteriota; Cyanophyceae; Synechococcales; Prochlorococcaceae. The record is from RNAcentral.